UACACCAUAAAUUUGGGAGAUAUUUGCUUACACCCUUCCCCCCCCCCAUCUAGACCUGGGUUUCUAGCCACCCCUUGCAGCACCUCAGAAGUCCAUUUUCUCCUGCCUGGAAUGCUCCCCAUCCUUAUGAAACCAGCGAUCAAGGGGACCAGUUGCAACGUCCUCCCUUUGAGACCAUGCCAGCCUGGGCAGCACCAGUUUCUGGACGGCUGUGGCCAGGGUACGAGAUGCCCGUGUACAGCCAGCCUUCUGCAAUGACACCAUCUGUCCAGAGAAACUUCUCCUCUCCACGUUGGACAGCUCCAAGGGGCCACAUGGUAGAGACAGGUGGCUUUCCACAGGGGUGGCACAGGCCUGGCAUGGCCCAGAUACCCGAGCGCCAACCCUUGCCAAGUUUCUGGGCUGGCCAUACCAUCAAAAAUGAGGAGACCACGGGCGUCCCCACGAACCCUCUUCUCAGCGGUGGAGACUCCAGGGAAGAACAGAACCCCACGUCUGUGCGAACACGGAAAGAGCAUAGCCGGGCAAACACGGCUGAAGGAAUUUCACUGUCUGUAAUGCAUUAUGGAACUGCUCCAGGCCAGUUUGGGCUGCUGAGGAGGUCUGUGGGUCACGACGGAUCAGCUCCUCGAGUCUUCUUUCCUGAUGAGACGGGUUCUGGGCCCGGGGUGGCCGAAAGGGCCUCGGAUCCGUCUCCAAGGCAACGAGGGAUGCAGGCGAAACCCCGGGAUGCUGACACCAUGCCUUUAAACGAGCCCUUGGCACAGAUUCCCCUGGAGAGGCACAAAUUCCACUGGUGA
Molecule: long non-coding RNA, 800 nt
Filed under: Pogona vitticeps (central bearded dragon)
Lineage: Eukaryota; Metazoa; Chordata; Lepidosauria; Squamata; Agamidae
Description: lncRNA (ENSPVIG00000010060.1)
Source: RNAcentral